GGUGCCCAGUGGCUAUUUUUCUCAUGCACCGCAUACUGCAUGCCUCAUAAUAAUGCAUAAGUUUUAGGUAUUCCAACAAGAUCUGGGAGAUUAGCGAUUAUUGGAAGUUGAUGGAGCUUCUCUUGCAAGAUUCUUGAUAUAAUAUUUAGGAUCUGAAUCCUCCUUGUCCGAAAGUAAUCAUUUAGAGUCUCCUAUAAUUUCCAGUUCUUUCUACGAAGGUCCCAUGGAGAGUGCAUUUGAUGGGGUUGAAUUGCCAUCAAAACAGACCGCCAAAGUGG
Molecule: long non-coding RNA, 278 nt
Filed under: Elaeis guineensis (African oil palm)
Lineage: Eukaryota; Viridiplantae; Streptophyta; Magnoliopsida; Arecales; Arecaceae
Description: long non-coding RNA (EGUI_LNC005753)
Source: RNAcentral